CAGCGAUGGACAAUACUUUGAAUCAUAAAUUAAGUUAAAAUGCGACGAUUCGUAUUAUGUAUUUAUCGCGAUUACAUUUCAAAAAGAAAUGUGAAGAUCGGCACGCGGCAUAACUACCUACCUGUACGAGCCUCGGAAAUGGAAUGACUGCGGUAACUACACAUAAACGUGACGCAUCACGCCGCUCCGUGCCAUCCCGUAUCAUCUCCUCUCUAAAGCCGCGCGCCAACCUGUCGAAAUAACGAAUAUUACGAA
Acromyrmex echinatior (Panamanian leafcutter ant) is the source of this 255-nucleotide long non-coding RNA. NCBI's taxonomy places the organism in Eukaryota, Metazoa, Arthropoda, Insecta, Hymenoptera, Formicidae. The record is from RefSeq and is a predicted model, not a curated record.